GCAUGGGUGGUGCACGGUGCGGUGCACACAGCUCAGACAACUAAUAUUGUGCUCUUGAGCUGCAAGGACUGAUUCCGGGGUUCGACUCCCCGCCCAUGCA
Mycena rebaudengoi is the source of this 100-nucleotide non-coding RNA. The record is from the annotation of a GenBank genome assembly. Lineage: Eukaryota; Fungi; Basidiomycota; Agaricomycetes; Agaricales; Mycenaceae.